Molecule: non-coding RNA, 27 nt
Filed under: Homo sapiens (human)
Lineage: Eukaryota; Metazoa; Chordata; Mammalia; Primates; Hominidae
Source: RNAcentral
UGGCAAGGCCAAGCUGAUGAUGUUACC